RNAcentral lists this ribosomal RNA (344 nucleotides) under uncultured Syntrophus sp. Its description in RNAcentral is "bacterial SSU rRNA". It matches the Rfam family "Bacterial small subunit ribosomal RNA", at positions 1035 to 1382 of the family's 1533-position model. Lineage: Bacteria; Pseudomonadati; Thermodesulfobacteriota; Syntrophia; Syntrophales; Syntrophaceae. The record is from RNAcentral.
CAGGUGCUGCAUGGCUGUCGUCAGCUCGUGUCGUGAGAUGUUGGGUUAAGUCCCGCAACGAGCGCAACCCUUAUCUUUAAUUGCCAGCAUUCAGUUGGGCACUUUAAAGAGACUGCCGGUGUUAGACCGGAGGAAGUGGGAUGACGUCAAGUCCUCAUGGCCUUUAUGCUUAGGGCUACACACGCGCUACAAUGGGUGGUACAAAGAGUUGCGAAACUGUGAAGUUAAGCUAAUCUCAUAAAGCCGGUCUCAGUUCGGAUUGUAGUCUGCAACUCGACUACAUGAAGUCGGAAUCGCUAGUAAUCGCGAAUCAGAAUGUCGCGGUGAAUACGUUCUCGAGUCUU